ACAACGGAGGAGGAACAAAAGGC
Molecule: non-coding RNA, 23 nt
Filed under: Cricetulus griseus (Chinese hamster)
Lineage: Eukaryota; Metazoa; Chordata; Mammalia; Rodentia; Cricetidae
Source: RNAcentral